GGAAUAUACUGGCUGCAGAGUCCUAAUUUCAAUUCAGUGGAAGAAACCUUCACUAAAGGCCUGGGACUUAGCUUACAGAUAUAGAGAAAAACAAAGUCAGAUUCUCAAGUUACUGCAUUCUCAUGUAUCCUGCUUUCUACUUGGAUAAUUAUUAUGGACUGAAUUGUGUUCCCCUAAAAUUUGUAGUCUGAAGCCCUAACCUUCAAUGUGACUGUAUUGGGAGAUAAGGCCUUUAAAGAAGUGAUUAUGGUUAAAUGAGAUUGUAAAAGUGAGGCCCUAAUCUAAUAGGACUGGUAUCCUUCUAAGAACAGGAGAAGACACCAGAGAUCUAUCUCUCUCCAUGCACAGAGGAAAGGCCAUAUGAGGACACAGCAAGAAGACGCCAUCUGUAAGCCACGGAGAGGGGCCUGAGAAGAAACCAGCCCUGCUGGUACCCUGAUCUUGGACUUUCAGCCUCCAGAACUGCAAGAAAAUUUCGUUAAGCCACCCAGUUUGUGGUAUUUUGUUAUGGCAGCCUGUGCAGACUGAGACAAUCAUGAAGUGUUAAUUUAAUCAGUAAGAAUAAACCAACCUGAAA
This 577-nucleotide long non-coding RNA is filed under the name Homo sapiens (human). RNAcentral's name for it is "HSALNT0107719". Lineage: Eukaryota; Metazoa; Chordata; Mammalia; Primates; Hominidae. The record is from RNAcentral.